AGAGUAAAUUAAAUGGUCGCGUAUAGCAAGGUCGAAAGGCAGCGUACGAGGAAAGUCCGGGCUCCACAGAGCAAUAAUGCUGGAUAACGUCCAGUGAGGGUAACCUUAAGGAAAGUGCAACAGAAAACAACCGCCAGAAAUGGUAAGGGUGAAAAGGCGAGGUAAGAGCUCACCGCUAAUAUGGUGACAUAUUAGGCUGUGUAAACCCCAUUUGGAGCAACACCGAGACAAGAAGGCUAAGACUGCUCGUCAUCUUCUUAAUUUGGUGGCUUGAAACAUAUAGUAAUAUAUGUGCUAGAUAAAUGGCCAUUCUAGACAGAACCCGGCUUACAGAUUUACUUUUAUA
Non-coding RNA from Clostridium sp. CAG:780, 346 nucleotides. Lineage: Bacteria; Bacillati; Bacillota; Clostridia; Eubacteriales; Clostridiaceae. The record is from Rfam.